Molecule: long non-coding RNA, 851 nt
Organism: Balaenoptera acutorostrata (minke whale)
Lineage: Eukaryota; Metazoa; Chordata; Mammalia; Artiodactyla; Balaenopteridae
Exons: 3
Source: RefSeq, a predicted model, not a curated record
GCAGACCGCCGUGCCGCACCAGCGCGACCCCAGCCUGUCUCUGAAACACGCCCCCCGGGACGUCUCGUGAUGAUGCCACUUUCAAGGACGCAGUUUACUCCAGAGGAAAAGCCCAAGUACUCCAGGCGUAGGAGGGAGACCGUGUGGCGAGCAGACCAACCUUUCCACCUCACGCUGGUGCCUGCAGGGCGCCACGCACACAGGAGUAACGGAAGUGAACGUUUGAAGGGAAGCUUGGAAGGUGCCAGAAAACCUUGUAACGUUGAAACACAACCAGCCAGCCUCUGACCCCGCUGCUCGCUGCUUUUCCAUUCCAGACUAGGCCUCAGUGUUCAGAGCUACAGCGCGAGUCACGCGUUUGAAUCCUUAAGGUGGUUCUCUGUUAACCAUCCAGCUUGUAACGCGUAUCUGAGGCCUCCUGCAAGGCCAGUGAUGUAUGUGCUAUGGACAGAACAUCUGCAUUUCCCGGUUUGUGAAAUCUAACUUGCGGCCCACAGGUCUCGGGAAAGCCUGCCGCUUGCACACACAAUGCAACUGGAGGACGCAGCAAACGGUGCACGACAGCCAUUCCAAACCGGAGAGCAGGACGGGGGAACCUAGCAACGCAGCAAAACAAAGUCAAACAUCUGUGUUUCGAUUCCGCCGUGUCUUCAAGAUGGGGUUAGAGUCGGCCAUAAGUGGAGCCGGCGGUCCUCGGUUCGGCACCCGCCUGCCGUAACGCGGCACAGUCCCCCAGGGUCCCACUCAACUGUGCGACUGUCUCCCGGGAGCUGCCGGGCUGAGGACGCUCCGCGGCCAGCGCCCGCCCGGAGCUGCGUUCCACCCCAGGUGGAGGCUGCACGCCAUCAACA